GCGGGUGUAGUUUAGUGGUAAAACUUUAGCCUUCCAAGCUAAUCAUACGGGUUCGAUUCCCGUCACCCGCU
RNAcentral lists this transfer RNA (71 nucleotides) under Goniochloris sculpta. RNAcentral describes it as "tRNA-Gly". It matches the Rfam family "tRNA". Rfam says of the family: Transfer RNA (tRNA) molecules are approximately 80 nucleotides in length. Their secondary structure includes four short double-helical elements and three loops (D, anti-codon, and T loops). Lineage: Eukaryota; Eustigmatophyceae; Goniochloridales; Goniochloridaceae. The record is from RNAcentral. RNAcentral also lists the same sequence under 11 other names.